AGUUAUUUGGCUGAAUGCUAAGCAAGUAUCUUGAAAAUACUCCAAAUAAGUUUAAUUCUUGUAAUAACUU
This 70-nucleotide transfer RNA is filed under the name Tullbergia mixta. Its description in RNAcentral is "tRNA-Ser". It matches the Rfam family "tRNA". From Rfam's summary of the family: Transfer RNA (tRNA) molecules are approximately 80 nucleotides in length. Their secondary structure includes four short double-helical elements and three loops (D, anti-codon, and T loops). The record is from RNAcentral. Lineage: Eukaryota; Metazoa; Arthropoda; Collembola; Poduromorpha; Tullbergiidae.